RNAcentral lists this non-coding RNA (26 nucleotides) under Homo sapiens (human). Lineage: Eukaryota; Metazoa; Chordata; Mammalia; Primates; Hominidae. The record is from RNAcentral.
UGCAGCCUUGAUGGAUGAAAUUCGUG